Molecule: ribosomal RNA, 678 nt
Filed under: uncultured bacterium
Lineage: Bacteria
Description: bacterial SSU rRNA
Rfam family: Bacterial small subunit ribosomal RNA
Source: RNAcentral
GAAACGACUGCUAAUACCGCAUAAGCCCACGGCUCGGCAUCGAGCAGAGGGAAAAGGAGCAAUCCGCUUUGAGAUGGCCUCGCGUCCGAUUAGCUAGUUGGUGAGGUAACGGCCCACCAAGGCGACGAUCGGUAGCCGGACUGAGAGGUUGAACGGCCACAUUGGGACUGAGACACGGCCCAGACUCCUACGGGAGGCAGCAGUGGGGAAUAUUGCACAAUGGGGGAAACCCUGAUGCAGCGACGCCGCGUGGAGGAAGAAGGUCUUCGGAUUGUAAACUCCUGUUGUUGAGGAAGAUAAUGACGGUACUCAACAAGGAAGUGACGGCUAACUACGUGCCAGCAGCCGCGGUAAAACGUAGGUCACAAGCGUUGUCCGGAAUUACUGGGUGUAAAGGGAGCGCAGGCGGGAGAACAAGUUGGAAGUGAAAUCCAUGGGCUCAACCCAUGAACUGCUUUCAAAACUGUUUUUCUUGAGUAGUGCAGAGGUAGGCGGAAUUCCCGGUGUAGCGGUGGAAUGCGUAGAUAUCGGGAGGAACACCAGUGGCGAAGGCGGCCUACUGGGCACCAACUGACGCUGAGGCUCGAAAGUGUGGGUAGCAAACAGGAUUAGAUACCCUGGUAGUCCACACCGUAAACGAUGAUUGCUAGGUGUUGGAGGAUUGACCCCUUCAGUGCC